UACAGAGGUCUCAAGCGUUGUUCGGAUUCAUUGGGCGUAAAGGGUGCGUAGGCGGCGCGGUAAGUCGGGUGUGAAAUCUCGGGGCUUAACUCCGAAACUGCAUUCGAUACUGCCGUGCUUGAGGACUGGAGAGGAGACUGGAAUUUACGGUGUAGCGGUGAAAUGCGUAGAUAUCGUAAGGAAGACCAGUGGCGAAGGCGGGUUGCUGGGCUGACACUGACGCUGAAGCGCGAAAGCUAGGGGAGCGAACGGG
This 253-nucleotide ribosomal RNA is filed under the name uncultured bacterium. RNAcentral describes it as "partial 16S ribosomal RNA". It matches the Rfam family "Bacterial small subunit ribosomal RNA", at positions 524 to 776 of the family's 1533-position model. The record is from RNAcentral.